ACCAGGAGUUGUACUCCUUAAGUCAUCAGGGUGCCAACGUUUUCUGUUUAGUGAAACAGACCUCAGAACUUUGAGGCAUUGGAUGGACAGCUUACGUAAUAAAGCACUAAGGCAGUGCAUGGGCAUUUGCAGAGGUGUGUGUGUGUGUGUGUGUGUGUGUGUGUGUGUGUGUGAGUAUUAUGUGUGUGUGCACACGUACGGGCACUGUAUGUUGUGGGUACAUAUGUCUGAGGAGGAUGCCAGGUGUCCUGCUCUAUUGUGCUUUACCUCAUUCCCUUGAGAGGGUCUCUUACUGAAGCUGGGGCUAGGCUGGUAGCCUGCAAGCCCCAGAGAUCUGUCCCCAUGCUCUGUAAAGGUAACUUUAUUUGUCUGAAGUAAAUGUGGUUUUGAAGGCCUACUGCUGAAUCAGCUCAACCUUUCUAGGUCUUUCUGAACUCUGGCUGGCUGGUUAAAGUAAACUGUUCUGGCUCAAACUCCUCUCCAAGGUCACUGAUUCAAACUCGCUUCUCUCAGCUUCUGACUGAAUUGCUCGGCUUGGCCUCACAUUAACUCUGGCAAUCAGUUUUAAUCUUCUGGCUCCUUCUCCUUCUCUGGCUCCUUCUGUCUUCACCACCUGUCUCUGUAAAACUCCAGGUAAAAACUGCCUCUGAACUCCCUGAACUGAGUUGCCACCAACUCGGCUCCCCGCAUUGCCUUUCAGCUCCCCUGUACUGAACUCAGUGACUCUCUAACUGUGCUGUUCUUACAAGAGUUGGGCAUAUCCUAUCUCUGACUCAUUCUGUCAAAUCUUUCUCUGAUUCAUAACUUUGCCCCUCAAUUAGAUAUCGCCUUCAGACAUCCCGUCUUCUACCAAUUAAUCUCAUCAUAUUUGGGAUUAAAGGUGUGUACUAAGGGCUUGUCUGUGUUCCAGUCAGAGGGAUUAAAGGUAUAUAAGGCUGAGCCAUACCACAAGUAGAAACAGGUUUUUCCAGUAAACACAAUCUUGGGGUUCACAGUGUGAUCAGAUACCUGCAGCAGGUUUUCUCCUGCUAUCAUGUGGGUCUUGGGAAUCUAACUCAGGUUGUUGAGUUUGGAAGCAGCUGCUUUUUACUAACCGAGCCAUCUUGCUGCCCCUAAGUUGAAAGUUUUUAAAUAGAACAUCUCUGGACAUCUGAGAUUUGAAGGAAGAGUCAUGUAUACAAACGUCCAUCCCAUACAGCCAUACAUACCACCUCUGCAACAAUUUUUAAGAUAUUUUAGAAUGCGAUAGAAAAGAGCAUCAAUGUAGUAAUGUGUAUAUAGAUGAGCUUGUUUGCAAGAUGGUAAUGAAGGUAUAUUUUUAGACAUUCAAAUGAAUUUUCCAUUUGAUAACUUGUAGGUUUGCAGUACAGUUUACAUGCAAGUUAAUUUUUGCAAUUCUUACUGUUUUUGACUUCCUUACCAUAACAAGGGCAGUUGAGCAUUUGUUUUGCAAGUUGUCCUCAUCACCAGCACUUGUCUAAGCAGCUGUGCAGGGGUUGCCCCUUUCCUCCUUCAGUGCCUUAGAGUCUGAGCUGGUCACGUCAUCGUUGGUACCAUGCCAAAUCCCGAAUAGUUACCUUCUAAUUAAGGUAGUUACUUGUCAUCUGUAUAUGCUGUCAGUUGACUUCCCUAAGUACACCAGUACCUGACUCCUUGUUUUAUUAAGUUUAAAUUAAAAAUGUUCUUAAUU
Molecule: long non-coding RNA, 1690 nt
Filed under: Mus musculus (house mouse)
Lineage: Eukaryota; Metazoa; Chordata; Mammalia; Rodentia; Muridae
Description: long non-coding RNA chr5:105916052-105917742
Source: RNAcentral